RNAcentral lists this ribosomal RNA (1249 nucleotides) under metagenome. Its description in RNAcentral is "bacterial LSU rRNA". It matches the Rfam family "Bacterial large subunit ribosomal RNA", at positions 1634 to 2877 of the family's 2925-position model. The record is from RNAcentral.
AUAUACGACCGUACCGCAAACCGACACUGGUGCGCGAGAUGAGUAUUCUAAGGCGCUUGAGAGAACUCAGGAGAAGGAACUCGGCAAAUUGACACCGUAACUUCGGAAGAAGGUGUGCCCUAUUAGUGUGUAGUGAACAACGAAGCAUGAAUGGGUUGCAAAAAAUCGGUGGCUGCGACUGUUUAUUAAAAACACAGCACUCUGCAAACACGAAAGUGGACGUAUAGGGUGUGACGCCUGCCCGGUGCUGGAAGAUUAAAUGAUGGGGUGCAAGCUCUUGAUUGAAGUCCCAGUAAACGGCGGCCGUAACAAUAACGGUCCUAAGGUAGCGAAAUUCCUUGUCGGGUAAGUUCCGACCUGCACGAAUGGCGUAACGAUGGCCACACUGUCUCCUCCUGAGACUCAGCGAAGUUGAAAUGUUUGUGAUGAUGCAAUCUCCCCGCGGAAAGACGGAAAGACCCCAUGAACCUUUACUGUAGCUUUGUAUUGGACUUUGAACAGAUCUGUGUAGGAUAGGUGGGAGGCUUUGAAGCAGGGUCGCUAGAUCUUGUGGAGCCAACGUUGAAAUACCACCCUGGUGUGUUUGAGGUUCUAACCUAGGUCCAUUAUCUGGAUCGGGGACAGUGCAUGGUAGGCAGUUUGACUGGGGCGGUCUCCUCCCAAAGCGUAACGGAGGAGUUCGAAGGUACGCUAGUUACGGUCGGACAUCGUGACGAUAGUGCAAUGGCAUAAGCGUGCUUAACUGCGAGACUGACAAGUCGAGCAGAUGCGAAAGCAGGACAUAGUGAUCCGGUGGUUCUGUAUGGAAGGGCCAUCGCUCAACGGAUAAAAGGUACUCUGGAUAACAGGCUGAUACCGCCCAAGAGUUCAUAUCGACGGCGGUGUUUGGCACCUCGAUGUCGGCUCAUCUCAUCCUGGGGCUGUAGCCGGUCCCAAGGGUAUGGCUGUUCGCCAUUUAAAGAGGUACGUGAGUUGGGUUUAAAACGUCGUGAGACAGUUUGGUCCCUAUCUUCCGUGGGCGCUGCAGAUUUGAGGAAGCCUGCUCCUAGUACGAGAGGACCGGAGUGGACACACCUCUGGUGUAUCGGUUGUCACGCCAGUGGCAUUGCCGAGUAGCUAAGUGUGGAAGAGAUAACCGCUGAAAGCAUCUAAGCGGGAAACUCGUUUCAAGAUGAGAUCUGCCGGGGCCUUGAGCCCCCUAAAGAGUCGUUCAAGACCAGGACGUUGAUAGGUCAGGUGUGGAAGUGAA